UUUCUGUCAGUGUUCGUCACCGCAGACUUAAUAUUCAAAUUUGUUACCAUUACAUGGAAUUGUGUAUAUCUCAGUCCGCGCAGGGUACUUUUCGCUGGUUGGUAUAUUCAAGUUCAGAGUUGAAUGUGUACAAUGCCCAAAACACAACGCAGCAGUAACAGAGUUCCUCUGAUUAACACUCAUGUCUCAUGUGUGCUGUUCGUUACUAGGCAUCCAAGUGUCACUACGAUUGUACUCCCUCCGUCUCAAAAUAAGUGUCUUAACCUUAGUAUAACUUUGUACUAGGACUAGUACAAAGUUGAGACAGUUAUUUUGGGACGGAGGGAGUAGUAUCUUACAGGAGAAAAAAGGAAAGAAAAAUUGAUUGCCUAUGCAUUCCUGCCUAUUUGACUUAAUGAAUGAAUGAGCUAUACGUGACUGUACUCCCAGUCCUUGCAUACACCCACAUCUAUGGCCAUCGUCUUGUUCCCGCCCCCUUCUUUCCUGGGCGAGGACAGCACUCUGCAGCAAUUCCGCAUCGGGGACUGCAAGUUCAUG
RNAcentral lists this long non-coding RNA (537 nucleotides) under Hordeum vulgare. RNAcentral describes it as "long non-coding RNA (HVUL_LNC021197)". The record is from RNAcentral. Lineage: Eukaryota; Viridiplantae; Streptophyta; Magnoliopsida; Poales; Poaceae.